This 495-nucleotide ribosomal RNA is filed under the name uncultured bacterium. RNAcentral's name for it is "partial 16S ribosomal RNA". It matches the Rfam family "Bacterial small subunit ribosomal RNA", at positions 28 to 507 of the family's 1533-position model. The record is from RNAcentral.
GACGAACGCUGGCGGCGUGCCUAAUACAUGCAAGUAGAACGCUGAAGGAGGAGCUUGCUUCUCCGGAUGAGUUGCGAACGGGUGAGUAACGCGUAGGUAACCUGCCUGGUAGCGGGGGAUAACUAUUGGAAACGAUAGCUAAUACCGCAUAACAGUAGAUGUUGCAUGACAUUUGCUUAAAAGGUGCAAUUGCAUCACUACCAGAUGGACCUGCGUUGUAUUAGCUAGUUGGUGAGGUAACGGCUCACCAAGGCGACGAUACAUAGCCGACCUGAGAGGGUGAUCGGCCACACUGGGACUGAGACACGGCCCAGACUCCUACGGGAGGCAGCAGUAGGGAAUCUUCGGCAAUGGACGGAAGUCUGACCGAGCAACGCCGCGUGAAUGAAGAAGGUUUUCGGAUCGUAAAGCUCUGUUGUAAGAGAAGAACGAGUGUGAGAGUGGAAAGUUCACACUGUGACGGUAUCUUACCAGAAAGGGACGGCUAACUACGUG